AGAGUAUGAUCCUGGCUCAGAACGAACGCUGGCGGCAGGCCUAACACAUGCAAGUCGAACGAAGGCUCCAGCUUGCUGGAUGUCCUUAGUGGCGCACGGGUGAGUAACGCGUGGGAACCUGCCCUUGGGUGGGGAACAACCGCUGGAAACGGCGGCUAAUACCGCAUACGCCCUUUGGGGGAAAGACUUCGGUCGCCCAAGGAUGGUCCCGCGUCUGAUUAGCUUGUUGGUGAGGUAACGGCUCACCAAGGCGACGAUCAGUAGCUGGUCUGAGAGGAUGAUCAGCCACACUGGGACUGAGACACGGCCCAGACUCCUACGGGAGGCAGCAGUGGGGAAUAUUGGACAAUGGGGGAAACCCUGAUCCAGCCAUGCCGCGUGAGUGAAGAAGGCCUUAGGGUUGUAAAGCUCUUUCAGUCGUGAAGAUGGUGACUGUAGCGACAGAAGAAGCCCCGGCUAACUCCGUGCCAGCAGCCGCGGUAAUACGGAGGGGGCUAGCGUUGUUCGGAUUUACUGGGCGUAAAGCGCACGUAGGCGGAUCGAUCAGUCAGGGGUGAAAGGCCUGGGCUCAACCCGGGAACUGCCUUUGAUACUGUCGAU
RNAcentral lists this ribosomal RNA (600 nucleotides) under uncultured marine bacterium. RNAcentral describes it as "bacterial SSU rRNA". It matches the Rfam family "Bacterial small subunit ribosomal RNA", at positions 8 to 640 of the family's 1533-position model. The record is from RNAcentral.